RNAcentral lists this long non-coding RNA (2857 nucleotides) under Sus scrofa (pig). RNAcentral's name for it is "lncRNA (ENSSSCG00060033649.1)". The record is from RNAcentral. Lineage: Eukaryota; Metazoa; Chordata; Mammalia; Artiodactyla; Suidae.
UUUUUUUUUUUUUUUUUUUUUUUUAGCCUCACUGCCACCAUGUUUCUCAGAUCCUCCCGUUAUGAAUGGUCUCUGAGUCUGGUCAGCGGAUAGCAUCUAUUCAGAAACCUGGAGAUUUUCAUCUCCCCGGGAUAGAGAAUGAGCAAAAUCCCGGACUGGAAUCAUGGAAGUUGAAUGUGAUAGGGGGUUUCCUUAGCAUCACUGGGGCCCCAUCCCUCCCCACAUACCCAUGGUCCUAUGGAAAUAUCCUGCCAACAGUAUUUUUAUGUGUCAAAUUUUAUUUUCUUGCCCCUCCUCCUUUUUCCUACCGCGGUAACCACUCCUUGGAGGUUGGUGUGCAUUAUUGUCGUGUGUAUUCUUUUUAACACGUAUAAAUUAUCUAGCAUCAUUGGUAAAUUUAAAGCUCACAUAUAUUGUAUUACACCAUAUGCAUUCUCUUAUAACUUGUUUUCUUUUUGUUCCCAUGUUAUAGGUUUGAGAUUUAUCCAUGUAUUGAUUCCUAGAGAUCUAGUUUCUUCACUUCUUACACAGUGGCAACAGUUUAUCCAUUGCCUUCCUGGUAGAUACUAAGGUGCUUCUACUUCCUGCUCUUGUAAACAGAGCAGCCAUGAACACUCUUCUUCAGCUCCCCUUGCACACAUGUGAGAAUUUCCCCAGGUCUAGGGCAUGCUUAGAGGGCAACUGCUGCUCCUAAGGUGGGCGUGUCUUGUACUGGGUUUGGCAACUUGCUUUCCAAGGUGCCUGAACCAAUUUCCAUUCGUCCAGUGCUGUGGGGGUGUUCUGUUGCCCCAAGUCCCCACUGGUGAAUGCUUUCAUCAGAUUUACCAAAACGUCUUAACCUGGCAGGUGUGAAAUGGCAGGCCUUUGCUUCUCUGUGAUUGCUGGGAAAGUUAAGCACUUUUUCAUGUAUUUGUUAUAUGAAACACACGGUCUUUGGCAUAUUUUUUCCUCUGACUCUUGGGACUGUGGGGGAGAGGUGAUUCUUUUUUCAUUGAUUUUUAGAAACUCUUUAUGUAUUCUGAAUACAGAUAUUGUAGUGUGAGUUGAAAGUAAGGGCCAACUGUAAAUUACGUAUGGAUUUUUGGUGCUCCCCAUGGCCCCGUGUUCAGAGAUCAACUGUAGUUUGUGGUAGGCUAAUGAGCUAAUGGACCGAGGCAGUUCUUAUUUAUUGAGGUGUUAUCAGGACAGGCUUUCCAUAUAUGAUUUUUUUUCUUUGAAUCUUUGUUUUGCCUUUUAAAAAUACCCCCAUGGGACUACGCCUUUUCCUUCGUGGUUCUCCAUACCCACUUCAUUUGGGGCUUCAGUAGCGAGUUGCUGCUGCCACCACCCACAUCACAGGAGGACACAAGCCUGGCCACUUCCAGUUCGGAGUGUCAUAAGUUCCCAUGACCUAAAAGAUUAAAGACUAGCCCACCAGCACCCACCAGCACGUGUUUAAUUAGCAGCCAUCCUCCCCAAGUGGAGACAGGUUUCUCCUGAUCCAGAAGCAAGUUGUGUUCAUUACAAACCCCACCCAAAGCAUAAUUCUAUCCACCAAGAAAGAGACACUUACUCGAAACACUCUGUCAUAGAUCCUGCUAAGUCACAUGUGUGACCGUGUGAGUAUCAGAUAACAAAAGUGAUCAUAAAGUGAUUUAGGUUGUACCUUUUUCACUCAAUACUUUGGAAAUCUCUUUCUGGGCUGACAUAUUCCUAUAGUGUCAGCUUUAAUGACUAGGUUUCCUUUGUUUCUUGAAGGUUUGGGAAGAUUAUUAUUGGAAAAGCGCUUUCCUUUUUUUUUUUUUUUUUGAAGCCGACUUUAAGUGAACAUGGAUAUUUGUGAAUAUCUUGAGCUACUUCCUUGUGAGGGGGGAAAAAAAAUCCCAAGACUUGGAAUUAUUGGGUCAAAGCCAUGUUCAUUUCAAAGACUUUGGUACAUAGCCCCAAACUGUUCAGUGUGGUAUGGGGGGGAGUGUCUGGUUCCCUCAUCCCUGUGUCUUGCAAUGAGCACUUCCUGUGAAUUGGGGGUGCAGAAAUGAUUGGGGUGCUCUCAGUCUCGGGCCUCAUCAUCUGGGGGCAGAGGCGGGGGACCAGGAAGGUGUCCCGCUCCAGACCCAAGGGGGCGGUCCCUGGGAGGAAGGAGGCAGGUCUCCAGUUAAGGGAGGUGACAAGUAACCGAAGUUCUCUUGGGAUGGUAUGUGUAGCUCCUCUCACCACACGUUAGUUUUCUGUCUAAACUAUAUCCAGUGGGUACUUUGACAGAAAGUGCAGGCCCGCCGGUAUUUGAGAUGAGUCACGAAACCUCUUGUGUUUCAGUUUCCACCCCUGUCAAGCAGGAAUAAGAACCACCCCAGCCUUAUCUCUCUCCCAGAUGUCAGAUUCAAGUCAUGGGAUGGAUGGAAAAGUGACUUGCAGACUGUAAGGUUCUGUUACAGAUAUUGUAUAAACAGCAUCGCUGAUGUUGUCCUUGGGUGUGCACAAGGGCGUCAGAUGAAACACAGCUCCCAGAGGACGUUAAAGAGGAUGCUGGUCCUGCAGUGAGACCUCGCCCACGCAGCAGGAGUGGGGGCAGCCACCAAGCCCUAGAACCAUCCUCCGCAGGGCAAAGUGGGGAGAGCACAGCUCUGCUCUCACACAGCCAGGGUUCAACUCCCAGCUCUGCCACUUUACCAGCCCUGUGAUGUCAGACAAGUGACUUAACGUCCCUGCGCUGCAGUUUCUGCAUCUUUAAAAUCUAGAUGCCUGUAGAGUCCUUGUGAGAAUGAGAGGAAAUAAGGCAUAUAAAGUGCCUAACCCAGGACCUGCUACAGUAAAUGCUUAAUUCUGUAAGCUUUUAUUUUCAGCAUGUUAAUCCUUGUGGGGAAAACUGUUAGAACAG